CAGCAGCCACGGUAAUACGAAGGGGGCUAGCGUUGCUCGGAAUGACUGGGCGUAAAGGGCGCGUAGGCGGUUUUGACAGUCAGAUGUGAAAUUCCUGGGCUUAACCUGGGGGCUGCAUUUGAGACGUCAAGACUAGAGUGUGAGAGAGGGUUGUGGAAUUCCCAGUGUAGAGGUGAAAUUCGUAGAUAUUGGGAAGAACACCGGUGGCGAAGGCGGCAACCUGGCUCAUUACUGACGCUGAGGCGCGAAAGCGUGGGGAGCAAACAGGAUUAGAUACCCCCGUAGUCCCUGUCUCUUAUAC
This 301-nucleotide ribosomal RNA is filed under the name uncultured bacterium. Its description in RNAcentral is "partial 16S ribosomal RNA". It matches the Rfam family "Bacterial small subunit ribosomal RNA", at positions 509 to 807 of the family's 1533-position model. The record is from RNAcentral.